Non-coding RNA from Chlorocebus sabaeus (green monkey), 1617 nucleotides. The record is from RefSeq and is a predicted model, not a curated record. Lineage: Eukaryota; Metazoa; Chordata; Mammalia; Primates; Cercopithecidae.
CCCCGUCCACGCUCGCCCAAUGGGCAGGAGGGAUGUUGUCAGGGAGUGGGCGGAGCCCAGGGCGUGUAGCUCGGGAGCUGAGCGAGAGAAGUGGAGGGCAGGGCAACCAAUGCCGGCUGCUGCCACAGCACCCCCUGUAGGGCCGAAUGAGCGGCGUCCGUCCCGCAGCCCUCAGAGGUGAACCGCAGCUUCCUUCAACAAAGAUUAAGCGACUCUGCGAUAGGCGCUGCAGAUACGAGGAAGGAGUCGACAGGGCCUAGCUGUCACACAGCUUGGUGAAGAAGCCAGGGGACAUAAACACAAGAGUGCAACGGAAAACUUUAUAUGAUAAACAUUUAUGUCGGGUUAGUGAAGCGCGAAGGAAGAACGAUCACUUGUGGGUGGGCGGAGGCUCACAGAAGCGGCGCAAGCUCAACAGGUGGGCAAGGAAGAGCAGAACGCGUAGACCCAUUUUAGAUCUGCAGUGUAUGUCAGAUGACUGGUGUUUAGGAGAUGAGGAAGAAGCCAUAUAAUCACUUAUGCAAGGAUAAGAAAUCUGAUCCUCCAAGCAGGAGGAUCGCUUGAGCCCAGGAGUUCGAGGCUGCAGUGAGCCAUGAUCACGCUACGCAACCCAGCUUGGGCAUCAGAGCAAGACACUCGCAAAAGUGAAAAAAAAAAUAAAGAAGAUGGCCUGAAGGGGACACCAGGUCGAGCAUGUGGAUAACUGAGAGAUGAUGAAAAAGGCAGGCACUCUGGGCUGACUUUCAUUAUAAAUAGUAGGUACAGCUGUGGUACUGUUUUGCCUCCAUGCAAUUCUCCAUGUUUUUCAUGUUAUUUAGUUCCUGAUUACUAAAGCUUUGAGGCCCCAGAGGAGGCUGGUGAUUUCCUUUAGAAAGAGGAACUGGGAGCAGCAAGAAUCACAGUGAGAUAUGCUAAGCUUUUCAGAGGAAAAGUUCAUGGAUGAUGCAUUCGACAUGAUGAGCGCAAACAUUUCCCAGCGCAGACCCAGGUCCUUCCGGUCUGAAGGAGCUGAGUUCCCAGCUCCUGUGAGCCUGACUGACUGUGUCUCAGGGCUUCUGUAAGGCAGGUCCUGCAUAUAGUGUAAGCUUAUAAAUGGAAGUGAGUGAGGGGAUGGCAGGUGUGAUGGGGAAUGCCAGCCUUGCUGUUUGCUCACAAUCAUGAGGAGUUUACACUUGUCUGGGAGACUUCUUGGCAAGGUUGCAGAGCUCACCACUAAGAUUAAGGGCCGGCUGGCCAGGCAACAGUAGAGGGGAGGAGGAAGUUUGCAACAGGGCAAGCAGGCAGCAUUUGGGCCUGUUUGGGAGACUGGCCAACACUAACGGGAUUACCAUCCGCUGCCCUGAUAUCUGCCAGGAAAUUGUGAAAUGAAAUUUCAAGGACCCUACCACAGAGUCAGAGAGUAUGUGGGAUGACUCGACUGAAAGCAAGAAUCCUUGGGGAAAAAGGUCCAGUUUCCUGGUGUUCCAUUUGCCUCUUUGCAGGACAGAAGCUCUGCCAAUUCCCUGGCUCUCUUCUCAGCCUCUCCCAGGCCUCUGACAACCCUAGACUCUAAGGUUGAGGAGGGAACUACCUCGGAGACUUUUAUCCAACUCUCUCAAUAAAUGGAGGAAAACAGCU